Cygnus atratus (black swan) is the source of this 1306-nucleotide long non-coding RNA. RefSeq lists it as uncharacterized. The record is from RefSeq and is a predicted model, not a curated record. NCBI's taxonomy places the organism in Eukaryota, Metazoa, Chordata, Aves, Anseriformes, Anatidae. The transcript is spliced from 4 exons.
AGCAGCCACGCUGUAAAUAAUGCUGUGGCUUGAUGACAUGAAGCCUUUGCAGUAUUACUGGUUCCUAGCAGCUCCUUGUUCCUACCCUUGCAAUGCAGCAUACCAUCCCUUAGUUGCGUCUGCAGCUUUUUGUGUGGCUGAGCCAUGGACCAGAUCAAAACACUCAUCCAUCUGAACAAUAAUCCAGAUCUAGAAAGCAUUUCUUGUCAAGUCUGAAAAUGAAGACAGAAAAUCCAUAUGCAAAUAACAGGAAAAGUAGCAGUUGGAAAAUUGAACGGAGAAGCAAAAUCCUAUCAUGCAGAGGUUUAAAGGUCACCAAGAUUUUGAACCCUAUGGCUGUUUCUUUAAGUCCUGAUGCAGAAUUAUGAGGACAGGAAUAUGGAUUUAUUACAUGAGUUUCUUGAUGAUAGUUACAAAUCUUUGCAGAGUGAUGGAUGUCCUCUGUUGUGCUUUACCGUUAAGCUGAAUUCUCAUGUGGGAGAUGAUGGGAAUGUCUGGCUUUUGACUGCUUCUAGACCAGUGCCCACCCUUGUGGCAGAAGUUAGUGUCCCAUAGAGAAUGAACUGGGACCAAAACUCAGGUGUCAUGGUACUGUCAUCUCUUCUGCAAAGAGAUCCUUUUUUUUUUUCUCAAUCAAGGCAUACAAGUAUAUGCAUAUGCAUGUAAAAUGUACUUUUAUUCUAUUUUUUUUCUCAUAUGGAAAAAAUAUGUAUUGUUAUGAGAACAUACACACUGAGAAUAUUACUUACACGUCGAAUUGUAUUCACUUAGCUGCAACAUUUAACUACCCAGGUAUAACAGAUGUUUAUGAUAGUUUCAUCAAGGUAGCUGCUUUGUAAUAGUUACGACCUUCUGCUUUAUCCUAGAAGACCAAGAGUUAAAGAACAGUUUUGUGUGUGUUGUUUUUUUCUUUCUUUCUUUUUUUUUUUUUUGAAACGACCUAUAAAUCAAUGUCUUUGGCAACAUUUUCGAAGUUUAAUUUAUGUUCUUUUCUUGCUCCUAGUGAAGCUCUGCAGUGGCAGGAAGGUGGUGAGCAGCUCGGGGCAUUCUUUCAUUUCAGUACUUUGCUCAGUCUCGAAGGUUUCUUGUGCUGUCCCUCCAUUACAGUGCACACCCAUGCUGGGAUGCUCAAAGUAUGAGUACCCUCUGCUGGCAUGUUUUUGUACUGGGCUCUGUCCUGCUGCUCUUCCAUCUGGCUGUCUUAACGUGUAGUAUGUUGCCCAGUUAUCCUUGUCUCCAUGUAUUAAUUUUGGUAAUCUCUUUUAGUAACAGAAUUUUGUCUUCACUUAAGGUAUUUGCAAGGAGA